RNAcentral lists this long non-coding RNA (808 nucleotides) under Capsicum annuum. RNAcentral describes it as "long non-coding RNA (CANN_LNC003462)". The record is from RNAcentral. Lineage: Eukaryota; Viridiplantae; Streptophyta; Magnoliopsida; Solanales; Solanaceae.
GAGAAAACUAUAAUUAUAUAUAUCUUACAAGUGUUAGUGUUAGUAUUGCUUGCCCAGUUGGUAUUGUCAAUUGUUUUGAUAUUGUGGGUGCCAGGGAUAAUAUUUAUACGCCACUAGUUUCCUUUGAUACAGUGUUUCAUCCGAGAAGUACGGGUGCCGUGCCACCCCAUACCUUCUACAUGGAUCCGCCCUGAAUGUUGGUCAUGCAAAAGGUUGCGCAGCUUUCAAGACUAGUAGUAUUUCUCACUCUAACCUUCGAUUUUCAUUCCAAUAGAUUCGUUUUCUUUAUUUUUUGUAGCAAAAUCUGGUGACAUGUUUCUAGGAACGCUCGAGGAUAAUGUUAAUAAAAGCAUUAAACAUCCCAUUCUACCAGCAUUAAAAGUCGCAUGAUGCCAGGUCAGCCCCAAAUACUUCUAAUAUUAUUUGUCCAUUUAUUAAUUGUAUCAUAAACCAACCAAACAUAAUCAAAGCAAGCACCCUAGAAUACUACUAAAUCAUUAUUAGAAUUCGCAAAAACAAGAAAAAGUAACAAUAAAACAAGAAAUAAAAAAAAGUCUCAAACACACUUCCCACUUCCCAAACAAUCUAGUACUCACUUCCCACCCAUGUAGUACACAACAAUCUCACAAUGACCACUCAAUAUCUCAGUACUAGUGCUUGCAGGGCAGAUUCUUUGAAGGUUCAAAAGCAAAUGGGCCCACAUCAAAGAGCUUAACACCAGGUUCAGAAUUAUUCACAGGCUUUGAUGAUGCCAUGGGAGAUGGGGGUGCAGGGACCAAUAUGGCUCCACUCUGUCCAUUGUGGAAGU